This 281-nucleotide ribosomal RNA is filed under the name uncultured Staphylococcus sp. Its description in RNAcentral is "partial 16S ribosomal RNA". It matches the Rfam family "Bacterial small subunit ribosomal RNA", at positions 81 to 354 of the family's 1533-position model. Lineage: Bacteria; Bacillati; Bacillota; Bacilli; Caryophanales; Staphylococcaceae. The record is from RNAcentral.
CUCCUUUGACGUUAGCGGCGGACGGGUGAGUAACACGUGGGUAACCUACCUAUAAGACUGGGAUAACUUCGGGAAACCGGAGCUAAUACCGGAUAAUAUUUCGAACCGCAUGGUUCGAUAGUGAAAGGUGGUUUUGCUAUCACUUAUAGAUGGACCCGCGCCGUAUUAGCUAGUUGGUAAGGUAACGGCUUACCAAGGCGACGAUACGUAGUCGACCUGAGAGGGUGAUCGGCCACACUGGAACUGAGACACGGUCCAGACUCCUACGGGAGGCAGCAGGG